This 351-nucleotide ribosomal RNA is filed under the name uncultured bacterium. Its description in RNAcentral is "bacterial SSU rRNA". It matches the Rfam family "Bacterial small subunit ribosomal RNA", at positions 28 to 363 of the family's 1533-position model. The record is from RNAcentral.
GAUGAACGCUGGCGGCGUGCUUAACACAUGCAAGUCGAACGAAGCACUUUAUUUGAUUUCCUUCGGGACUGAUUAUUUUGUGACUGAGUGGCGGACGGGUGAGUAACGCGUGGGUAACCUGCCUUGUACAGGGGGAUAACAGUUGGAAACGGCUGCUAAUACCGCAUAAGCGCACAGCAUCACAUGAUGCAGUGUGAAAAACUCCGGUGGUAUGAGAUGGACCCGCGUCUGAUUAGCUUGUUGGCAGGGUAACGGCUACCAAGGCAACGAUCAGUAGCCGACCUGAGAGGGUGACCGGCACAUUGGGACUGAGACAGGCCCAGACUCCUACGGGAGCAGCAGUGGGGAAUA